RNAcentral lists this non-coding RNA (29 nucleotides) under Mus musculus (house mouse). Lineage: Eukaryota; Metazoa; Chordata; Mammalia; Rodentia; Muridae. The record is from RNAcentral.
UAGGACCUGAGAACUUAACUUGUUAUGGG